GACGAACGCUGGCGGCGUGCUUAACACAUGCAAGUCGAACGAUGAAGCCUAGCUUGCUAGGUGGAUUAGUGGCGAACGGGUGAGUAAUACGUGAGUAACCUACCUUUAACUCUGGGAUAAGCCUGGGAAACUGGGUCUAAUACCGGAUACGACCAAUCUCCGCAUGGGGUGUUGGUGGAAAGCGUUAUGUAGUGGUUAUAGAUGGGCUCACGGCCUAUCAGCUUGUUGGUGAGGUAACGGCUCACCAAGGCGACGACGGGUAGCCGGCCUGAGAGGGUGACCGGCCACACUGGGACUGAGACACGGCCCAGACUCCUACGGGAGGCAGCAGUGGGGAAUAUUGCACAAUGGGCGCAAGCCUGAUGCAGCGACGCCGCGUGAGGGAUGACGGCCUUCGGGUUGUAAACCUCUGUUAGCAGGGAAGAAGAGAGAUUGACGGUACCUGCAGAGAAAGCGCCGGCUAACUACGUGCCAGCAGCCGCGGUAAUACGUAGGGCGCGAGCGUUGUCCGGAAUUAUUGGGCGUAAAGAGCUUGUAGGCGGUUUGUCGCGUCUGCUGUGAAAGGCCGGGGCUUAACCCCGUGUAUUGCAGUGGGUACGGGCAGACUAGAGUGCAGUAGGGGAGACUGGAAUUCCUGGUGUAGCGGUGGAAUGCGCAGAUAUCAGGAGGAACACCGAUGGCGAAGGCAGGUCUCUGGGCUGUAACUGACGCUGAGAAGCGAAAGCAUGGGGAGCGAACAGGAUUAGAUACCCUGGUAGUCCAUGCCGUAAACGUUGGGCACUAGGUGUGGGGGACAUUCCACGUUUUCCGCGCCGUAGCUAACGCAUUAAGUGCCCCGCCUGGGGAGUACGGCCGCAAGGCUAAAACUCAAAGAAAUUGACGGGGGCCCGCACAAGCGGCGGAGCAUGCGGAUUAAUUCGAUGAUACGCGAGGAACCUUACCCGGGAUUGAAAUGUAGAUGACCGCUCCUGAAAGGGAGUUUUCCUUCGGGACAUCUAUGUAGGUGCUGCAUGGUUGUCGUCAGCUCGUGCCGUGAGGUGUCGGCUUAAGUGCCAUAACGAGCGCAACCCCUGUCUACGGUUGCCGUCAGGUAAUGCUGGGAACUCCGUAGAGACUGCCGUCGUAAGGCGUGAGGAAGGUGGGGAUGACGUCAAAUCAGCACGGCCCUUACAUCCGGGGCGACACACGUGUUACAAUGGUAAGGACAAAGGGCAGCUACCUGGCGACAGGAUGCGAAUCUCNUAACUUUAUCACAGUUCGAAUCGGAGUCUGCAACUCGACUCCGUGAAGCUGGAUUCGCUAGUAAUCGCGCAUCAGCCAUGGCGCGGUGAAUACGUUCCCGGGGCU
Molecule: ribosomal RNA, 1347 nt
Filed under: uncultured bacterium
Lineage: Bacteria
Description: bacterial SSU rRNA
Rfam family: Bacterial small subunit ribosomal RNA
Source: RNAcentral